UGGCUCAGUUGGUAGAGCAUGGCGCUUGCAAAGCCAGGGUUGUGGGUUUGAUUCCCGC
RNAcentral lists this transfer RNA (58 nucleotides) under Salmo salar (Atlantic salmon). It matches the Rfam family "tRNA", at positions 8 to 63 of the family's 71-position model. Rfam says of the family: Transfer RNA (tRNA) molecules are approximately 80 nucleotides in length. Their secondary structure includes four short double-helical elements and three loops (D, anti-codon, and T loops). Lineage: Eukaryota; Metazoa; Chordata; Actinopteri; Salmoniformes; Salmonidae. The record is from Rfam by way of RNAcentral.